CUCCAGACAGGGCAAAGAUGUGGUCCAUGGAUGCUGUGGAUUGGCCAUGACCAGGCUCUCAGGUGACUCCACUCAUGUGAUUUUCACAGAAAGACUGCUGUCUGACCAGUGAGCAGCACAGGGCACUGUGGGUCAGACUCAGUGUCCGCAUGGUGGAAACCCAAAACUUGCAACCUCCCAAACUCCCCAGGGCUGGGAAGAUGGUGUCUGCGCUCACUGACACAGAUUUAGCAGCUGGAUAUGGUCCCAGCACCCCCACCUUCUUCCAUGUCCUGCCUGCCAGCCUCCCCCUCCAACAGCUCCCAGGUACCAACAGCUGGGAUAUCAGUAUCCCAGAUACUGAUAAAUCCAUGGGGAGAGUUGGGGGCAGGCAGUGGGAGCAACAUAUUUGCAUCCAUAACCCCUCCUCUGUGAAGUCACUGAAGGGGAUAAGAGAGGCCUGGAGAAGCCACUCCAGCUCUGGACGUCAGGAGGGCUGCUUCCACCAUGGCCUGGGCACCUGUUCUCCUGCUGAUAUUCUAUUAUUUCUCAGGUUCCCUCUCUCAGGCUUUGCUUAUUCAGCUGCCCUCCCUCUCUGCACAUCUGAGAAAUGUUGUAAGACUUCCCUGUACCCCGAGCCGUGGCUGCAUUGUUGGUGGCUGUCACAUAUUCUUGUACCAGCAGAAGUCACGGAGCCUUCCCCAGUAUCUCCUGAAAUACUACUCAGACUCAAGUAAACAGCAGGAAGCUGGGGUCCCCAGUCACUUCUGUGAAAGAUUCCUCGGGCAACAUGCAGGGAUUCUGCACAUUUCUGAGCUCCAGCCUGAGAGCAAGUCCGACUAUUACUAUUUUACAUAUCACAGCAACAGUGGCACUUUAACAGUGCUCCAGACUUAUGAGGAAAUGAGAUUAGAACCUCUCCUGCAUUCUCUCUGCCUUGUGCAGGCAACAAUACACUGUCUGGGACCAAGUGUGGCUCAUCAGUAGCAACUUUGUUGUUUGUAUUUUUCAUUCCUC
RNAcentral lists this long non-coding RNA (996 nucleotides) under Rhinopithecus bieti (black snub-nosed monkey). RNAcentral describes it as "lncRNA (ENSRBIG00000045070.1)". The record is from RNAcentral. Lineage: Eukaryota; Metazoa; Chordata; Mammalia; Primates; Cercopithecidae.